GUGAGGAAUAUUGGUCAAUGGGCGGGAGCCUGAACCAGCCAAGUCGCGUGAGGGAUGACGGCCCUAUGGGUUGUAAACCUCUUUUGCCGGGGAGCAAAGUGCCGCACGUGUGCGGUUUGGAGAGUACCCGGAGAAAAAGCAUCGGCUAACUCCGUGCCAGCAGCCGCGGUAAUACGGAGGAUGCGAGCGUUAUCCGGAUUUAUUGGGUUUAAAGGGUGCGUAGGCGGACGCUUAAGUCAGCGGUAAAAUUGCGGGGCUCAACCUCGUCGAGCCGUUGAAACUGGGUGCCUUGAGUGGGCGAGAAGUACGCGGAAUGCGUGGUGUAGCGGUGAAAUGCAUAGAUAUCACGCAGAACUCCGAUUGCGAAGGCAGCGUACCGGCGCCCAACUGACGCUGAAGCACGAAGGCGUGGGUAUCGAACAGG
RNAcentral lists this ribosomal RNA (424 nucleotides) under bacterium. RNAcentral's name for it is "bacterial SSU rRNA". It matches the Rfam family "Bacterial small subunit ribosomal RNA", at positions 354 to 776 of the family's 1533-position model. RNAcentral also lists the same sequence under 1 other name. The record is from RNAcentral.